Molecule: ribosomal RNA, 550 nt
Filed under: Streptococcus thermophilus
Lineage: Bacteria; Bacillati; Bacillota; Bacilli; Lactobacillales; Streptococcaceae
Description: bacterial SSU rRNA
Rfam family: Bacterial small subunit ribosomal RNA
Source: RNAcentral
AGCAACGCCGCGUGAGUGAAGAAGGUUUUCGGAUCGUAAAGUUCUGUUGUAAGUCAAGAAAGGGUGUGAGAGUGGAAAGUUCACACUGUGACGGUAGCUUACCAGAAAGGGACGGCUAACUACGUGCCAGCAGCCGCGGUAAUACGUAGGUCCCGAGCGUUGUCCGGAUUUAUUGGGCGUAAAGCGAGCGCAGGCGGUUUGAUAAGUCUGAAGUUAAAGGCUGUGGCUCAACCAUAGUUCGCUUUGGAAACUGUCAAACUUGAGUGCAGAAGGGGAGAGUGGAAUUCCAUGUGUAGCGGUGAAAUGCGUAGAUAUAUGGAGGAACACCGGUGGCGAAAGCGGCUCUCUGGUCUGUAACUGACGCUGAGGCUCGAAAGCGUGGGGAGCGAACAGGAUUAGAUACCCUGGUAGUCCACGCCGUAAACGAUGAGUGCUAGGUGUUGGAUCCUUUCCGGGAUUCAGUGCCGCAGCUAACGCAUUAAGCACUCCGCCUGGGGAGUACGACCGCAAGGUUGAAACUCAAAGGAAUUGACGGGGGCCCGCACAAGCG